RNAcentral lists this transfer RNA (65 nucleotides) under Dipodomys ordii (Ord's kangaroo rat). It matches the Rfam family "tRNA". Rfam says of the family: Transfer RNA (tRNA) molecules are approximately 80 nucleotides in length. Lineage: Eukaryota; Metazoa; Chordata; Mammalia; Rodentia; Heteromyidae. The record is from Rfam by way of RNAcentral.
GGUGGCUCAGUGGUAGAGUGAUUGCCUUGCAUGCAUGAGGCCUUGGGUUCGAUUCCUCAGCACCA